Leptidea sinapis is the source of this 476-nucleotide long non-coding RNA. RefSeq lists it as uncharacterized. NCBI's taxonomy places the organism in Eukaryota, Metazoa, Arthropoda, Insecta, Lepidoptera, Pieridae. The transcript has 3 exons. The record is from RefSeq and is a predicted model, not a curated record.
UCAUAUAUUGACAUUCUGCUUGAUCUAGAAGAAACAGAUGCCAGCUUUACAGAGGAACGGAUGCGUGGAGAAGUAAAUACAAUUAUACUUGCAGGCCAAGAAACAAUAGCCACCACGUUGUUCUUUUGUUUCUUAACGAUAGGAGACCAUAAAGACGUGCAAGAAAAAAUGGUAAAAGAAAUAAAACAAGUAAUGGGUGAAGAGAAGUGCGAUGUCACAAAAGAACACUUGUCAAUGAUGCCGUAUUGUGAGGCUGUAAUAAAUGAAACCAUGCGGCUAUAUCCUGCAGCUCCUGGCGUUAUGCGAUACGCAGACCGUGACGUUAAACUUGGAAAAAGAUAUGCGAUUCCAGUGUUAAAGACGAUCUUGAUUCACUGCAUUCGUGAUUAUGAGAUCAUAGCUGAACGAAAUGAGAAUUUAGAGUUCAAAGUGGAUGUUGCCUUAAAAACAAUAAAUGGUCAUUUGAUACAAGUGAA